UUGUUCUCUUUACUUUUUACAGAGUCUGUUGCGUUUUGAGCUUUCCUUUUUUUGAUUUGUCGACCCUAGAAGGUCACAGCUGACGGACUAUUUAUAAAGUCCCAUAUGCAGCUUUGUAGCCUCACGUUUUUACCUAUUAUCAAUAAAGAGAGCAUUUUCUUUAGCAAAACCCUAGAGCUACAAAGACUUGUGCGGCUGUCCCUUGUCUUUGUGUUCUUCCGACUUAUCAAAGCUAGAUCAUAAGCUUUGUGGCGUCCUUCGAUCCACCGGUUACUAUCAUCCCCGAGUUCGUUCAUUGGACUUAAACAAAGAGAGCCUUGAGGCCAGUUGUUUAAGUCACCAUCUUCCCCACACUUCAUUCAUCUCGUGUCCGAGUAGAGAGAGCCUUGAGGCCAGCUACAAGGAUCCAACUCACACUACACCCGAUCUUAUAUCAUUUUGGUAUCAGAGCCGAAAGGUUCUGCAUCAUGUGAUAUUUAUCUGAUCUGUUCCCUUCUUUUCAUUUUGUGUUUAAGUGUCUUUGAUUUGUUUUAAGUUGAGUAGUUACCGUGUUAAAAAAAAAAAAGAAUAGAACAUACUCGCAUCUAGUUUUCUUAGCUUACCUUUUGCAUUUAAGACCAAAGAAAAGUCAUAAAAACAUGUUGUGCAACUAGCUAUUUAGUCGAACUCAUUUGUUAUUGCAUCCAAAAUUCAAAAAAAAAAAAAAAAAAGCAUAUCUAUAUACCCCGUCUUCUAUAGUUUUGAGCAUUGCAUUAAGUUUCGCCAAGUUCAAUAGUUUAAACACCCUCAGUUGCGUGUGAUCUAGUGUUGUUUCUGUUGAGUUAUAGAUUCAUGGAGGAACAAGCUGUACCGGCCCAAGACACUAUCUUCCAAGCCAUUGCGGCAAUGCGACAAGACAUGGCCGCACAACUAGGCCGUAUGGAGGAGAGGGUUGGACGGUUGGAGGUACCAAGGCGAGAGGCCGUCAGGCCAAUUCAAGUGCCACCACCACAACCACAACAGGGCCAAGGAGAUGAGAACAUGGCUGAAGAGGAAGGAGAUGUGAACAACAAUCAAAGGAGACAAGACCCUCCUGACUUAAGAGCACACCAACGGCUACGAGACCCUGUCAACCGCGGCCGAAUCAGAGACGACGAAGGUAAUAGGCAGGGAAACAAGGAUAUCAAGCUAACGGCUCCUACUUUUGCAGGCAAGGUGGAUCCCGAUGCUUAUCUAGAAUGGGAAAGACGAAUGGAAUACAUCUUUGAGUACUACGGCUACAACGAUCAGAGGAGAGUGGCCUUAGCAGCGGCUCAACUCACCGACCAUGCCUUGUCUUGGUGGGACCGAGAUGUGGCUGAGAGGAGGAGACAUCGCUACGAACAAAUCAGUACAUGGGCCGCGAUGAGAUACAAUCUCCGAAGGAGGUAUGUACCACCUUAUUUCCAUAGAGACUUACAAAAGCGAUUUAGAAAGUUGGUGCAGGGUAACAAGUCAGUUGAAGAAUAUUUUGAGGAAUUUGAGACCCUCCGGAACAAGCUAGAACAAGAAGAUACCGAGGAGAACCUCAUGGCUCAAUUCCUUGAUGGCCUUCAUGACCGUAUUGCGAGAAAGGUGGAGAGGCAACCCUACCAUGACAUUUCUGAGCUCCUACACUUAGCCAUUCAGGCUGAGCAGCACAUUAAGCGCAAAACGACGGCCACCAAUCGCACCAAGCACAACCAAACGUGGAGCCAGCAACCGCCUAGAACGUUAGACAAGGGUAAAGCGGUGGAGACCAACUCCAAAUAUCAGAAGCCGCCAGCUGAGCCAUUCAAAAGCAAUCGGCCAGACGCGGGUAAGGUUACAAGUACUUCUAGAUCGAGAGAUAUCAUUUGUUUUAAGUGUCAGGGGCGAGGGCAUAUGGCGAGAGACUGUCCUAAUCAAAGAGCCAUGAUCAUGACCUCAAACGGCGAGUACGAGUCUCAAGAUGAAUAGGACGAGGAGGACGAUGCCGAGCUUGACACUGACAUCGAAUACCCUGAUUCUGGUGAGAUGCUAGUGAUCAGAAGAGCCCUCAGUGCCAUAGUUGAACCAGAAACCGUACAGAGGGAAAACAUAUUUCACACCAGGUGCACCGUGCACAACAAGGUAUGUAGUUUAAUCAUCGAUGGGGGUUCUUGUACUAACGUAGCCUGCAAGACUAUGGUUGUUAAGCUAGGUUUAAAGACAAGUAAGCACCCUAGGCCCUAUAGACUCAGAUGGCUUAACGAUGAGACCGAACUAAAGAUCACCGAGAAGGUUACCAUUCCUUUUAGCAUCGGUAAGUAUAGCGAUCAAGUGGAGUGUGAUGUGGUGCCUAUGCAAGCCGGCCAUCUUCUGUUAGGAAGGCCUUGGCAAUUUGACAAGGAGACUCUCCACAAUGGCCGAACCAACCAUUACGUCUUCACUCAUGAUAAACGUAAGUUCACACUUGCUCCACUCACACCGGCUCAAGUCCAUGAGAUGCAACUUAAGUGUGCAAAGGACUCCCAGGUAAGUAAGACUAACUUAUUUAUCACCUCAACUGAUGUUUCUAAAGCUAUAGAUCACCAUAUGCCUGUGCUACUAAUGGUCUUCCGAGAGGCCCUUCUUGCAGGAACCGGUGAGUCUGAGCUACCACUCGAGGCCAGAUCUUUGUUAGACAGGUUCAGCGACGUGUUCUCGGAGGAGAUUCCAGCUGGGCUACCACCUCUCAGGGGAAUAGAACACCAGAUUGAUCUAGUGCCAGGAGCUGCUCUUCCCAAUAGACCAGCAUAUCGCAUGAAUCCCACCGAGGCCAAGGAACUUGAGAAGCAGGUUCAGGACUUAAUGUCUAAGGGGUAUAUACGCGAGAGCCUCAGCCCCUGUGCUGUCCCGGUUCUUCUAGUACCCAAGAAGGAUGGGACUUGGAGAAUGUGUGUGGAUUGUAGGGCUAUAAACAACAUAACCAUCAAAUACCGCCACCCUAUACCUCGACUUGAUGAUAUGUUGGAUGAACUACACGAGGCCACGGUCUUCUCAAAGGUGGACCUUCGCAGUGGCUACCAUCAAGUGAGGAUGAAGCAGGGAGACGAGUGGAAAACCGCUUUCAAGACCAAGCAGGGUCUAUAUGAGUGGCUCGUCAUGCCCUUUGGCCUCACUAACGCGCCAAGCACUUUUAUGAGGUUAAUGAAUCACAUCUUAAGGGCCUACAUUAGUAAGUUUGUAGUUGUGUAUUUUGAUGAUAUAUUAAUCUAUAGUAAGUGUUUUGCGGACCAUAUUCGGCACCUUGAGCAAGUAUUAGAGACUCUUCGUCAAGAAGGUCUUUAUGCGAACCUCAAGAAGUGCACCUUUUGCACUAAUGAGCUUGUGUUUUUAGGCUUUGUGGUAAGCUCUCAGGGAUUACGAGUUGAUCAAGAGAAGAUAAAGGCGAUUCAAGAAUGGCCCACACCCACGACCAUAGGACAUGUUCGAAGCUUCCAUGGGCUAGCAAGCUUCUAUAGGCGGUUUGUUAAAGACUUUAGCACCAUAGCCGCCCCUCUCACUGCUGUGAUCAAGAAAGAUGUGGCCUUUUCUUGGGGGCCAGCACAGGAUAAAGCUUUCCAAACUCUUAAAGUUCAUUUAACUAAUGCACCUGUUCUAGUUUUGCCUGAUUUUAACAAGACUUUUGAAAUCGAAUGUGAUGCUUCAGGAUUAGGUAUUGGUGCGGUGCUGACUCAAGGUGGGCGACCGGUGGCUUAUUUCAGUGAGAAGCUACACGGAGCUACACUAAACUACCCUACCUAUGACAAAGAAUUGUAUGCCCUUGUGAGAUCCAUGGAAACUUGGCAACACUACUUGUUAGCCAAGGAAUUUGUCAUUCACACCGAUCAUGAGACACUUAAGCAUCUAAGGGGGCAAACAUCACUCAAGAGGAGGCACGCGAGAUGGCUAGAGUACAUCGAGACUUUUCCCUACAUAAUCAAGUACAAAAAGGGGAAAGAGAAUAUAGUAGCCGAUGCACUCUCAAGGCGAUAUGCGCUUAUCACCACCCUGGAGGCCAAGGUGAUGGGGUUUGAGCAUAUCAAGGAACAAUACGAAGGAGAUCCCGACUUUGGAGAGGUUUACCAAGCCAGUGCCGAAGCCGUAGUGGGAUCUUUUCAUCAGCACGAAGGGUUCUUGUUCAGAGAUAAGCGCUUGUGCAUACCCCAAGGAUCAAUGAGGGAGCUGCUGAUCCGAGAAUCACAUGGAGGGGGUCUCAUGGGCCACUUUGGGGUAGACAAGACACUGAGCAUACUUGUGGAGCAUUUCUUUUGGCCCCACCUCAAGAGAGACGUCGAGAGGUUAUGCUCCAAAUGCGUCACUUGCCUCAAAUCCAAAUCCAGGUCACAUCCCUACGGUCUUUACACACCCUUAACUAUUCCUAACCUACCUUGGGUAGAUCUUUCUAUGGAUUUUGUUUUAGGUUUUCCGAAGAUCCGAAACAAGGACUCCAUAUUUGUAGUGGUGGACCGGUUCUCAAAAAUGGCGCAUUUCAUUCCAUGUUCAAAGACAAAUGAUGCUUCCCAAACCGCUGACUUGUUCUUCAAGGAGGUGGUACGCUUACAUGGGUUACCAAGGUCUAUAGUAUCUGAUCGUGAUACCAAGUUUUUAAGCCACUUUUGGAGGACAUUGUGGAGAAAGCUCGGGACCAAGCUACUCUUCUCAACGACUUGCCAUCCUCAGACGGAUGGGCAAACUGAGGUUGUCAAUCGAACUCUCUCCACCCUCUUAAGGGCCAUGGUUGGUAAAAAUUUAAAGAACUGGUUAGAGUGUCUUCCCUUUAUUGAGUUCUCUUAUAACCGUGCUACUCACUCGGCUACCAAGUUUUGUCCAUUUGAAGUUGCAUAUGGCUUUAAGCCACUCACUCCUCUAGAUCUUUCACCACUACCACCACGGGAGUAUGCUAAUCAAGAUGGAGAAAGCAAAGCGGAGACAGUUCGGAAGCUGCAUCAAAAGGUCAAAGAAAACAUUGAGAAAAAGACUGAACAAUACAAGAAACAAGCAGAUAAGGGACGCAAAGAGCUCACCUUCAAGCCAGGAGAUUGGGUUUGACUUCACAUGCGGCCGGAGAGGUUCCCUAACCAACGCAAAUCCAAGCUUUCAUCGCGAGGAGAUGGACCAUUCAAAGUGCUCGAGCGUAUCAAUAACAACGCUUACCGCCUAGAGUUACCAGGUGAGUUUAAUAUCUCUUCUAGUUUCAAUAUAUCUGACUUAGCUCCCUUCCACGCAGAUGAACAAGUUCUGAGGUCAGAACCUUCUCAAGCGGGAGGGAAUGAUGAGGACACUAGCUCGGAGCAACCCCAAGACUUGAAGAUUCCUACCAUGUACGAGCCACCAAGGACUAGGUCAGGCACGAGAAACAUGAGGGAAGGGUUCAAUGAAGCUGUGGAGGCUCUAAUGAUGCAAGAAGGACAUAAAGAACUCACCAAGACAAUGGAGCAACUCAAGAUUACAAGCCAAGAAUAAUAUGCCGUGGACGUGAAGGCACCAAGCCCAAGUUUAGACGAGGAAACGUGGCCGCUGCUAAAGACCUACCUUGGCCCAACAUUGCUCGUCAUUUCUCAAGUCCAAGACAUAGACAACCCCUCUUCGAACCACCUCUAAAGCAAUGUGAGUCUUUAAAUUUGAAUUCAUUAACAAAGUUUCCUUUUCUUGUUUUGCAGGUUUUAUCGUUAGGUUCUUUAGUUAAUUUUCCUUUUUAGAUUGUUCUUAGGGUUAUCGAAUUGUUCUCUUUACUUUUUACAGAGUCUGUUGCGUUUUGAGCUUUCAUUUUUUUGAUUUGUUGACCCUAGAAGGUCACAGCUGACGGACUAUUUAUAAAGUCCCAUAUGCAGCUUUGUAGCCUCACGUUUUACCUAUUAUCAAUAAAGAGAGCAUUUUCUUUAGCAAAACCCUAGAGCUACAAAGACUUGUGCGGCUGUCCCUUGUCCUUGUGUU
Molecule: long non-coding RNA, 5916 nt
Filed under: Eutrema salsugineum
Lineage: Eukaryota; Viridiplantae; Streptophyta; Magnoliopsida; Brassicales; Brassicaceae
Description: long non-coding RNA (ESAL_LNC000551)
Source: RNAcentral